GCAGGCCGCAGCGUCUCGCAUCGCAACCAGGCACAUCCAGCGCUCUGCCCCCGACCUGAGUACCUGACGAACCCUAAGCCAUCGCCGGUCGCCGCCCGACGCCCGCCGUCGCCGGUCGCCACCAAUCGUCGAGGUCCAGCUCCGUGCACCCCGGAUCUCCCUUUCCAGCACCCCCCGGAUCUCCCCCUUCCAGCGCCCACCCCCUCCCCCCGGCUGCGCCGCUGUGGCCUGUGGCCUGCGGCUGCUGUCCUGUUCGUCGUGUCCGGCGACGCGGCGAGGGCGCAAGGCGGAGAACCCGGCUAGGGCGCGAGUGGUGCGAGGCUGCAGCCUGCAGGCAGCUCGGCGUCCAGCGAGAUGCCAUCUAUUGUUUAUAGAUGCCAUCUUAGUACGGCGAACCCGAUUUCAAGGUUAUCGCACACGUAAAGGUGUUUUGACUCGUCCUACACGUUUAGCGAUGUCUGCUAUUGAAGAUGUACUCAUGGGAGGCUCGGAUCAACCAAUCAUUUGAUUUGUCAACUAUCUUCGUCGGGACAAUUGUCGCCGUAAAUAAACCGUGAACUGAAGUACGGAAAACGUGUGCAUGCUUGAUUUGUUGGGUUAGGUACAUAAUCAUCAUAUAGAUUGUUCGAUUUCCCAAGAAAUGAGCGAAGUUGGAAAAAGUGUACCACUGGGAAUGAAGGUUUGGCCAGCUCUCUGGGAGUAACUUCAAGAUCACCAAGAUUAUGUAAUCAUAUUGUUGGCUCAUUGAAAAGUUUAAUGUCGCCUUCUACAUGCAUUUUGACAUAACUGUUGCUAAAAUUUUGAAUAUUUCAAUAUAAUCACAAUGAUUCUAGA
Long non-coding RNA from Triticum aestivum (bread wheat), 834 nucleotides. RefSeq lists it as uncharacterized. The transcript is spliced from 4 exons. Lineage: Eukaryota; Viridiplantae; Streptophyta; Magnoliopsida; Poales; Poaceae. The record is from RefSeq and is a predicted model, not a curated record.